This 88-nucleotide transfer RNA is filed under the name Nannocystaceae bacterium. Its description in RNAcentral is "tRNA-Ser". It matches the Rfam family "tRNA". Rfam says of the family: Transfer RNA (tRNA) molecules are approximately 80 nucleotides in length. The record is from RNAcentral. Lineage: Bacteria; Pseudomonadati; Myxococcota; Nannocystales; Nannocystaceae.
GGAGAGGUGUCCGAGUGGCCUAAGGUGCAGCAUUGGAAAUGCUGUGUGGUUCACGCCACCGCGGGUUCGAAUCCCGCCCUCUCCGCCA